RNAcentral lists this ribosomal RNA (333 nucleotides) under uncultured bacterium. RNAcentral describes it as "partial 16S ribosomal RNA". It matches the Rfam family "Bacterial small subunit ribosomal RNA", at positions 338 to 682 of the family's 1533-position model. The record is from RNAcentral.
CCUACGGGUGGCAGCAGUCGAGAAUCAUUCACAAUGGGGGAAACCCUGAUGGGGCGACGCCGCGUGGGGGAAUGAAGGUCUGCGGAUUGUAAACCCCUGUCAUGUGGGCGCAAAUUAAAAAGAUAGUACCACAAGAGGAAGAGACGGCUAACGCUGUGCCAGCAGCCGCGGGAAGACAGAGGUCGCAAGCGUUGUUCGGAAUGACGGGGCGGAAAGCGUGCGUAGGCUUUUUCGUAAGUCGUGUGUGAAAGGCGCGGGCUCAACCCGCGGACGGCACAUGAUACUGCGAGACUAGAGUAAUGGAGGGGGAACCGGACUUCUCGGUGUAGCCGU